GGGUUCUAAUCUUCAGGCAGAUGACAAGAGUUCUAGAUAUUUUGGAAGAUUACUGUAUGUGGAGAAAUUACGAAUAUUGCAGACUGGAUGGACAAACUCCUCACAAUGAGCGACAGGCUUCCAUUAAUGCAUUCAAUGAUCCUGACAGCUCAAAAUUUGUGUUCAUGUUGAGUACACGAGCAGGAGGUCUUGGAAUCAAUCUGGCUACUGCUGAUGUUGUAAUUCUCUUUGAUUCAGACUGGAAUCCACAAGUAGAUCUCCAGGCUAUGGAUCGAGCGCACAGAAUUGGGCAGACCAAGACUGUCCGUGUGUUCAGGUUUAUUACAGACAAUACCGUGGAGGAAAGGAUAGUGGAGCGUGCAGAAAUGAAACUGCGCCUGGAUUCCAUAGUCAUCCAGCAAGGCAAAUUGGUGGAUCAAAACCUGAAUAAACUUGGAAAGGAUGAAAUGCUGCAAAUGAUCAGACAUGGAGCAACACACGUGUUUGCUUCAAAGGAUAGUGAGAUUACAGAUGAAGAUAUUGAUCACAUUUUGGAAAGAGGGGCAAAGAAGACUGCGGAAAUGAACGAAAAACUUUCAAAGAUGGGUGAAAGCUCCCUUAGGAAUUUUACUAUGGAUACUGAAUCUAGCGUGUAUAAUUUUGAAGGGGAAGACUACAGAGAAAAACAGAAGUUGGCAUUUACAGAGUGGAUUGAACCCCCUAAAAGAGAAAGAAAAGCCAAUUAUGCUGUGGAUGCUUACUUCAGAGAGGCUCUUCGAGUCAGUGAACCAAAAGCACCCAAGGCUCCACGGCCUCCAAAACAGCCAAAUGUACAGGACUUCCAGUUCUUUCCUCCUCGCCUGUUUGAACUGUUGGAAAAAGAGAUUCUCUACGACAGGAAAACAAUUGGUUACAAGGUACCUCGUAAUCCUGAUCUCCCAAAUGCAGCCCAAGCACAAAAGGAAGAGCAGCUUAAGAUUGAUGAGGCUGAACCUCUUAAUGAUGAAGAACUAGAAGAAAAAGAGAAACUUCUAACCCGGGGCUUCACUAACUGGAAUAAGAGAGAUUUCAACCAGUUCCUCAAAGCCAAUGAGAAGUGGGGCCGUGAUGACAUUGAAAAUAUAGCACGAGAAGUCGAAGGAAAAACCCCAGAGGAAGUCAUUGAGUAUUCAGCUGUGUUCUGGGAAAGAUGCAAUGAACUCCAAGACAUAGAGAAGAUCAUGGCUCAGAUUGAAAGAGGAGAAGCUAGAAUUCAGAGACGAAUCAGCAUAAAAAAGGCUCUCGAUACAAAGGGCAGGAAAAAUCAUCCAACUCCUCCCAUGUUUGCCCGAAGCUUUGGUGUUGGAGCAGCCAAAGGCAAGAGGCUUCAGCAGCAGGGCUCUGCGCUGGAGGGCUCUGGUCCUGCCCACGCUGUGGGGCUGUCCUUGCUGGAGCAGCCUGGUCCCUGCCGUGCCCAAGCCCUGAGACACAGAGGGAGCCCUGUGCCCAGGGGCCUUUGGCACCUUGUCAGGAAGGUGGCAGCAGCCCCGGGAGCAGGCUGGAGGAGCAAACCUCCCAGCAGAGCCAGAUUGCAGUGGAGGCCAGAGCUGUGUUUGGAGCAGGGAGUGCUGAGAGCUGCGUCUGCCUGUGCUGCCCCAGCCUGAGCACAGGCACAGGGAACAGCCUGGGCAAAGGGAUUGGGGCAGUGGCUGAUGCCCAGGGAGAAGAACACAAACCCACAGCCCUUCAGCCUGACAGUCCCCUCCACCCAGAGCUCAGCACACAUCCUCACAGGGAAGCCCAGCAGCUGAAGGGAAAAAAAACCCACAGAAGAAAAAGCAGCCAGCAGGGAAGGGAGAAGAGGAUCCCUGUGGGAUGAGACUGCAGAGAGCGAGCAGAGGAGCAGCCUCGGGCUGGAGAAAGGCCAAGGGACCAACACGGUGGCACCAGGGCACCUGUGAGGAACAGAAUGGACACUUGGAGGCCACAUGGAGGUGAGGAGUGCAUGGUUUGGGCAAAAUGUCAGUGAAUCUCCAGAGAGAUAAGGAGGGGAUAUUUAGGAGGGAAACGCUGAGGUGAUGAGUUCACCCAGCCUGGCACAAGGUGUGUUUGCACAGGCUGGGGCCAGAGGUGGGGGUCAACCCAAAGCCAGCCCUGCUCAGCCUCUAAAUCCCAGGAUAAGAUGUACAGGCUGCCCACUGAGGGAUUAAAAAUACAUAAAACUGAAACCAAGAGCAUUAAUGAGAUUCUUGGGAAUCCCAUUAACUUGUUGGCAGAGCUCUUGACACAGUUUGGAGCUUUGAUGACAAGAAUGCAUUUCUUUAUUUGGAUUAUUCACUGUGUGGGAUAGGGGGUUUGUUUGGAUUUUAAGGCCCUCAUGGUGGCCCUGACACUGCUCAGGAGCUGGUAGAGAAGCAGAGUCAGAGCUCCUGGCAGGCACAGGGUGUUUUCCCCCAUAGUGGAUUGUGGAGCAAUUGUCUGGGACCCGGAUUGUCCCUCUGGGUGAUGCCACUUGCUGUGGUUUGUAUCAUUCCAUCCAUUUAAUUCCCAAAACUUCUCAGCCCAGGGGUUGGAGCUGACAGGGCAGGACAAAGAUUGUUCUCUGUGUGGUGCCCAGAUUUGGGGUUCCCUGUCAGCUGUGCCAGUUCUGAUGAAUUCUACCCAUAGCCCCAAAUUCCCUGCUCCAUUCCCGCUGCAGUAACCUCCCAGUGCCCCAUGGAGUGUGGGCAUUCCCAUGCAGAGCUGCUGCCUUGGACAGCAGCUGUGUCAGGAGCCAGCAGAGCUUCCAAGGAAGCUCAGCAGCACAGGGCCAAGGCCAGGGUUCUAUUCCAUAGAAGUGGCUGUUGAGAACCCUCAGCCCAGUGGUGUCCCUGGGCUCACUGGCCAGAGCUGCCUGGAAUGGAGCCCAUUUCACCCCCCUGAGCUCCAGGAUGGAGAAGAUCCAGUGGAUGGUUUAGAGCAGGAGAAGGCAGUGGCCAGAUGUGCUCCCAGCCUGAGCUGAGGCAGCCCCUGUGCCCAGGGGGGGACAUCUCUCC
Non-coding RNA from Agelaius phoeniceus (red-winged blackbird), 2993 nucleotides. Lineage: Eukaryota; Metazoa; Chordata; Aves; Passeriformes; Icteridae. The record is from RefSeq and is a predicted model, not a curated record.